Molecule: long non-coding RNA, 2944 nt
Organism: Panicum virgatum (switchgrass)
Lineage: Eukaryota; Viridiplantae; Streptophyta; Magnoliopsida; Poales; Poaceae
Exons: 2
Source: RefSeq, a predicted model, not a curated record
CCCCACCCUGUCCCCCACUCACGCACUCUCCGCGAGCAAUUUCAGGUCGCGAGAGAGCUCGCCGCUCCGUCCUUGCCCGCCGUCCCCGCCGCCGCGCAGUCCGCGGCGUCGUCCGCGUCGCCGCCGCUCUGUCCCCGGCCGUCCCUGCCCCUCCCCUCUCCAUCUGCAUCGGCCACGACGCCGUCCCCCUCGCGCCGCUGCAGCUCACGAAGCCAUCGCCUUCGCCCAGCCGCUCAGCGCUCACCCUCGCCUCCGCUCGCCGAUCGCGCCCUCACCCAGCGACGCCACUCGCCGCCAUCCCGGCCCCGUCCGAUCGACUUUGGCCCGUGGAUAGGAACUAAGGGCUUCUCGAAUCGCGUCCGCGCCGCCGCUCCGUCCCAGCUGGAGAUCCAUCUGCGCCGCCGCAACGACGCCGUCCGCCGUCCGCGCCGCCUCCAGCGUCGACGAUCCGCUGCAGCGAAGGAAGGCGCGGUACCGCCGCCGCCGUUGGAGGUCGGGGCUGCCGAUCCCCGCCCGCUCUCCGGCCCUGCCGCUGCACCGGGGAUGCUCAAGGUUGGGACCCCUCGGUCACGCCGUCCCCGACCGCCCGACGGUUCCUCGGCGGCGCGGUCGCGCCAUCCCCCAUGCUCCAGCCAUUCCACCAUGCCGUUGCCUGAUCUGCGGUUCAAGCCUUCAAGGUAUACGUCUUCAAUCCUACUGUAUCGAGUAAAUCAUGGCUCUGAAAUCUAUUUGCAAGGACGUGCGAUGGACCGCCAUGCCGUCCAUGGGAGCAAUUGGUACGAGCAGAUGCGGAGCAGGUUAGGGUAGUCCAAUCGGAAUUUGCUUGUUACCUAAAAUUGUGAUUCCAUUUAAGGUGUCCGAUUUUCUCCACUUGUUCAUUUGUUGGAGGUAGUGGGAAGUAGUAAACAGGCUGCACCUGCACAUCACCCGUAUCAAUGUGGGGUGCUUUUUUUGGAUGCUUCAGGCCUUCAAGUUUUGUGCUCACAAAUUAUUUGAUGAUUUUGCUCACUGGUUUCAGCUAAGAGGAUGGAGGUCGAACGGUUUCAACAACGCUUUCAGCUAAAAACCCUAAUGUCGGGUUUUUCUCUCCACUAUCUAUUAUGCCAUUUCUUAUUUAACUUCCUGCAAAUAGUGCCAUGAUAAUAUAAGUGCUUAAAGUUUUUGUCUUGUUAUAUAUAUGAUUUAUGAACCAGCAAAUACUCAGCAAUGGAGGCAUAGUGAAAUUCAAACAGAGGAGAAAACAGCUAAUAAAUGGUUGCUAGAAUCCAAGGGAAUCCAGAUCUGUUGGUAUUCUUGAUGCUUCUUCUGAUUCCAAAAUUAUAUGGAUUCAGUGUGUUUUAAGUUCUAUAUGAUGCUGCACAUAAUUACCAUUUGUAUUUAGUGCUUAGUUCUUGUUAUGUGUCUAAUAUAAGUACAAGAUAAUUGGUUGAAUAUCAUAAUAUAUUAAAGAUAAGAGGUACAGCAAGCCUGUCAAGGUGUCACAAAAAGGUACAAGGCUAACAAGCUAUUUCUGAAAUGGUAGAAGAGCAUGCUGACCCUCUCCUAUUUUUUUGGGUUGUAUUAAUCAUGAAGCAUUGUAUAGGAAUACUAUGUUCGUUUGCUAAUAACCUCUUUUUUGCAGAUUGUCAGUGUGUUCUGGCUAGCUAGGUACUUCUACAAAAUUUAAAUUGUUUGUUCAUUUGAGUUUCUUCGAGCGUUCAAAAUACAGGUAACAAGUUUUGGGAUUUGUAAAGCAUGCACUAUAAAUUCUGAAAUUUCUGAAUAUAAAUGUGUGAUGAACUGAAGAUUUCAUUCAUAUAUGGCUGCUGCAUUAUGAACUGAAGAUUUCAUUAAUAUAACUGAAUAUAAAUGCAUUAUGAAUGGAGUGCUCUAAUUCAAUCAUAUAUAUCACAUAAUUCUAUCCUGUCAGUUUACAUGUCUCUUGAACAUGCUAAAAAUAGUAAAACCAUCUUUAGGAGUUUUCUUGACCCAUAUUCACUGGCCUCACUGUCAUGGUUUCCAUAUUCCUUCCCCUCUGGAAACAGUCUACCUAUAUCAAGAUAAUCCCACAGAUUCUUAGACCAGAUUUUAGUUGAUAAACCACCAAAGUUGUUUUCCACCAUAACAAAGAUGUUUGCCUUUUACGAUGCUAUUAUACUGGCUUGGCUUUUACAUGUCUCCUUUUAGUUUAAUUGAUUUUUAACAUUUUUUAAGAUUGUUGAGAAUUACUCCUUUUUGAUCUUUGAAGACCAUAAGUUUGCUCACAUCGGAAAUACAGUAACCAAACAAUAUGAAGGGUAAGAAAACAAUAUUAGUUUUUAUACUUUGAUUCAGAGGAAUAUUCCACAAAUUGGACUGGGUUGAUAUUGUUAAUGGCAUAUUGUACCUGGACUAGGAACUGUAGAUGGCUUGAAGCUGAAGGUAUGUUAUGCUUCAUAUAUACGGCUUGCGUGAUAACUAUUAAUAUUGACUUAAAAAAGAAUAAUUUGAUGUUGCAGAUGAUAGUAGCUGAAUAAUUGUAGUGCUCACGGUAACUGUUGUGCUCUUUCAUUGAAGGGUUUGCCUAAAGGAAAAGGAAGAGGGCUACUUCUGCUUGCUGAAAUGAGCUCUCUGCUGGCAACCUUGCUCAGGGAGAUUACACUGCUGCAGCUGUAAAGAUUGCAGAGCAGCAUCCUGACUUUCUGAUCGGGUUUAUUUCAGUAAAUCCUGCAUCUUGGUUGUCUAGAAACCAAGGAACGACUGUUAUGAACAGUACCUUCCAUGAGAAGCAUGGCCCCAUUAAUUUAAAAUUGUGUACUUGAAUAUAUUUUAGUGUUCUUUGUUUAUGUUUUUUUGACAUAGUCAUGUAAGAUUGAUGGUUUUUUUAGCAUGUGCACCUCAAUGUGGCUCAACAGCCCAUACAUUAUGCUGCUAAGAUUAGAUAUAUUGUGUAGUUUUUGAUGAUCUCAAUGUAUCAGUUCUCUUA